This 253-nucleotide ribosomal RNA is filed under the name uncultured bacterium. RNAcentral describes it as "partial 16S ribosomal RNA". It matches the Rfam family "Bacterial small subunit ribosomal RNA", at positions 524 to 776 of the family's 1533-position model. The record is from RNAcentral.
UACGUAGGGGGCAAGCGUUGUCCGGAUUUAUUGGGCGUAAAGAGCGUGUAGGCGGCCAGAUAGGUCCGUUGUGAAAACUCGAGGCUCAACCUCGAGACGCCGAUGGAAACCAUCUGACUAGAGUCCGGAAGAGGAGAGUGGAAUUCCCGGUGUAGCGGUGAAAUGCGCAGAUAUCGGGAAGAACACCCGUGGCUAAGGCGGCUCUCUAGUACGGUACUGACGCUGAGACGCGAAAGCGUGGGGAGCGAACAGG